GUCAGACAUUAAAAGACGGUCUUAAUUUGGCAAAGGAUGACACCUUUAUAAGAAAAGAAUGCCUCCAAAUUUAUCUAUGAUAUAUGAUGAACCAGGAACAUCUAAGCAAUUUACAACAGGCAACUUCCUAAGACGUGUUAGGCAUUUCAUUCUGAUUUUUUUUUAACAUAAUUAUUUUCCGCCACGUUUGUGACAAGCAAAAGGGGAGACAGAAAGCAGGUAAGCGAAAAAUUUCCCUCCUAUGUCAUGGCUGAAAUUAGAAUUAGAAAAGAUAUCAUACAACCGUCAUUAGUUUCCAUAGUUCAAA
This 307-nucleotide unclassified non-coding RNA is filed under the name Hevea brasiliensis (rubber tree). The record is from RNAcentral. Lineage: Eukaryota; Viridiplantae; Streptophyta; Magnoliopsida; Malpighiales; Euphorbiaceae.